RNAcentral lists this ribosomal RNA (470 nucleotides) under uncultured Glomus. Its description in RNAcentral is "SSU rRNA". It matches the Rfam family "Eukaryotic small subunit ribosomal RNA", at positions 569 to 1038 of the family's 1831-position model. The record is from RNAcentral. Lineage: Eukaryota; Fungi; Glomeromycota; Glomeromycetes; Glomerales; Glomeraceae.
AGCAGCCGCGGUAAUUCCAGCUCCAAUAGCGUAUAUUAAAGUUGUUGCAGUUAAAAAGCUCGUAGUUGAAUUUCGGGAUUGACACAUCGGUCGUGCCUUAAGGGGUAUGAACUGGUGUAGUCAAUUUCUCACCUUCUGGAGAACCGCGAUGCCCUUAAUUGGGUGUCACGGGGAACCAGGACCUUUACUUUGAAAAAUUAGAGUGUUUAAAGCAGGCAUUUUGCUUGAAUACAUUAGCAUGGAAUAAUAAAAUAGGACGGCAUGAUUCUAUUUUGUUGGUUUCUAGGAUCACCGUAAUGAUUAAUAGGGAUAGUUGGGGGCAUUAGUAUUCAAUUGUCAGAGGUGAAAUUCUUGGAUUUAUUGAAGACUAACUACUGCGAAAGCAUUUGCCAAGGAUGUUUUCAUUAAUCAAGAACGAAAGUUAGGGGAUCGAAGACGAUCAGAUACCGUCGUAGUCUUAACCAUAAACU